RNAcentral lists this long non-coding RNA (201 nucleotides) under Nicotiana benthamiana. RNAcentral's name for it is "long non-coding RNA (NBEN_LNC024740)". The record is from RNAcentral. Lineage: Eukaryota; Viridiplantae; Streptophyta; Magnoliopsida; Solanales; Solanaceae.
GAAAAUGCUUUUCCCUUGUCUUCCACCAAUCCAAAAGGUCGAAAGAUCCGUCUGGAUUAUCAUUCUCUAGCCCCUGCGACAAAUAAACUUGAAGCUCGUUUAGAUGGGAAAUAUCAUCUAAAUUAUCACCUUGAGUACCCCUGAACUCCGUCCACGAUUUAAGAGUUGUUAAGCCAGCAACUCUUUUAGACGCCUGUGAUG